Molecule: ribosomal RNA, 253 nt
Filed under: uncultured bacterium
Lineage: Bacteria
Description: partial 16S ribosomal RNA
Rfam family: Bacterial small subunit ribosomal RNA
Source: RNAcentral
UCCGUAGGGUGCAAACGUUGCUCGGAAUCACUGGGCGUAAAGGGCGUGUAGGCGGGAAUGUAAGUCGGGCGUGAAAUCCCUAGGCUCAACCUAGGAACUGCACUCGAAACUGCGUUUCUUGAGUAUCGGAGAGGAAAGCGGAAUACCUGGUGUAGAGGUGAAAUUCGUAGAUAUCAGGUGGAACACCAGUGGCGAAGGCGGCUUUCUGGACGAUAACUGACGCUGAGACGCGAAAGCGUGGGGAGCAAACAGG